RNAcentral lists this ribosomal RNA (511 nucleotides) under uncultured bacterium. RNAcentral's name for it is "bacterial SSU rRNA". It matches the Rfam family "Bacterial small subunit ribosomal RNA", at positions 15 to 518 of the family's 1533-position model. The record is from RNAcentral.
GAUUAUGGCUCAGGAUGAACGCUAGCUACAGGCUUAACACAUGCAAGUCGAGGGGCAGCAUUGGAGUAGCAAUACUCAGAUGGCGACCGGCGCACGGGUGAGUAACACGUAUCCAACCUGCCGCUUACUCGGGGAUAGCCUUUCGAAAGAAAGAUUAAUACCCGAUGGUAUAAAGAGUUCGCAUGUUCUCUUUAUUAAAGAAUUUCGGUAAGCGAUGGGGAUGCGUUCCAUUAGAUAGUUGGCGGGGUAACGGCCCACCAAGUCUACGAUGGAUAGGGGUUCUGAGAGGAAGGUCCCCCACAUUGGAACUGAGACACGGUCCAAACUCCUACGGGAGGCAGCAGUGAGGAAUAUUGGUCAAUGGACGAGAGUCUGAACCAGCCAAAGUAGCGUGAAGGAUGACUGCCCUAUGGGUUGUAAACUUCUUUUAUAAGGGAAUAAAGUGAGGGACGUGUCCCUUUUUGUAUGUACCUUAUGAAUAAGGAUCGGCUAACUCCGUGCCAGCCGCCGC